UCCUCACGUCGCCUCUUUCUCUCAAUCCUCUCUAAACCCUUAUCCUCACGUCGCCUCUCUCUCAAUCCUCUCUAAACAUUGAAUCUCACAUUCAAAUCUCACAGAUUCACUGAUUUUGAAGCUCUACCUCCACCACCAUCUGCACCGGCGAGGUAGCGAGAUUCACCGAUUUCAUAAAUUCACCGAUUCAAAUCUUACAGAUUCACUGAUUUCAGAUCGAUCUGCACCGCCACCGCGAUUUCGAUUCAGAUCGGUCUGCACUGCCACCCCGAUUUUGAUUCUCUCUCUAGAUCUCUCUCUCAGAGAUUCAUCUUUGAUUUCAUCUCAUAGUGAUUUUGAUCUCUCUCUCUCUCUCUCUCUCUCUCUCUCUCUCUCGAUUUCAAAGCUCCACCGCCACCACCAUCUAUGCAAGCUUCCAUGGCUUAGCACCUCAUCUUCUUAUCUCUUCCACUUUGUAUAUACAUAUACACAUAUGUAUAUUUAUCGAUUCUCUCAUGUACAUACACGUAUCUGUAUAGACACUGAUCGAUAAUGGAGCAGAGCUUCUUCAAUUUGAUCUAUUUUCUGCACUGCCCAGGCCUCGCUGAGACAUUCCUCGACGUUUUACUCUCCUCAGUCUCGAUUUGGCUCGCUGUCAUGAUCGGCCUUGUUAUCGGUUGGUCCUGGCGCCCUAUGUGGACCGCUUUCCAGAUACAAAAUCUUUAGUGAAAGAUCUACAUCUCACUGGAUUCAAAGCAAUCUGGAUCCUUUCUUUAUUUGUUAAUUGACAGCUACCAACAAACGAAGGAAAAAUAAGUUCAAGGUCUUCCUGAAAGAACUUUUUGUGGUAUGGGGACUGGUGUUUAUAAUACUUACCAUUGAUUUUCAGUGAUUUUUGUUUUAAGUUUUAGCAAAAACCUUGACAUAGAGGAUCAAAUGUGAUGGCACAAACAUGAAUAUCCUCAUAAAUCAGCCUUCAAGUUAUUAUUAGUUACACAUGAGAUAUAUCAUUUAUUUGGUACAUAUGUGUAAUGGAAUUAUAUUUGGUAAUCUUCUGAACUAUGUGAAAUGAUACUCAUGGUUCCUCUGCUUGAAUUAGGUUAGGGCUGCUUGUAAGUCCUUGCCCUUGACAUUGUACCUUUACUUUUGUUAAGUUUUGACCCUGAACUAUUUAAAUAGCUAUUAAACUUCUUUGAUUGUUCUAUUCUUACUGUUAUAUAAGAGAAGGAACAGUCUGCUCUUCGUGCACAGAGCAGCUCUAUUAGAAGCAGCAAAAGCCAGGCUAAGAUUGCUGAAGAAAGCGUGCCCAAGACUGUGAAGUUCCAACCCUUCAUCAAAGAAGAAGCCUUAGUUAGCAUACACAAUGAUGUUUUCCUAAGUACAGCAGAGCAAUUCUUUGACCUAUUGUUGAAUGAUGACUCAAAUUUUAUAAAUGAGUAUCGUUCAGUCCGAAAGGACACUAACCUUACUAUUGGUCCAUGGCAUGAUGCUGAUGAAUAUGAUGGCUAAGUCAGAGAGACAAAAUUGACGGCCCUGUGUAACAGUCCUAUGUGCCCUCCAGAUACAGCAAUGAUAGAGUGGCAGCAUGCUGUUUUGUCACCAGAUAAGAAACAGCUGGUGAUUGAGACUGUACAACAGGCGCAUGAUGUACCAUUUGGGUAUUACUUUGAGGCAUCUCAAGCAUUGUUGGAGUGGCUUAUGAAAAAGCAAAAAGCUUUUGACCGGCAGGGUGAUAUGGUUGUUGCAGCUUGGGCUGAGCAGCAGCAGCAUGAAAUGAAUCUCCGUGUGCAC
Molecule: non-coding RNA, 1770 nt
Organism: Camellia sinensis
Lineage: Eukaryota; Viridiplantae; Streptophyta; Magnoliopsida; Ericales; Theaceae
Source: RefSeq, a predicted model, not a curated record